CCUACGGGUGGCUGCAGUGGGGAAUAUUGGACAAUGGGGGCAACCCUGAUCCAGCCAUGCCGCGUGUGUGAAGAAGGCCCUCGGGUUGUAAAGCACUUUCAGUGAGGAAGAACGCCUGGUGGUUAAUACCCAUCAGGAAAGACAUCACUCACAGAAGAAGCACCGGCUAACUCCGUGCCAGCAGCCGCGGUAAUACGGAGGGUGCGAGCGUUAAUCGGAAUUACUGGGCGUAAAGCGCGCGUAGGUGGCUUGAUAAGCCGGUUGUGAAAGCCCCGGGCUCAACCUGGGAACGGCAUCCGGAACUGUCAAGCUAGAGUGCAGGAGAGGAAGGUAGAAUUCCCCGUGUAGCGGUGAAAUGCGUAGAGAUCGGGAGGAAUACCAGUGGCGAAGGCGGCCUUCUGGACUGACACUGACACUGAGGUGCGAAAGCGUGGGUAGCGAACAGGAUUAGAUACCCGUGUAGUC
Molecule: ribosomal RNA, 465 nt
Filed under: Vreelandella stevensii
Lineage: Bacteria; Pseudomonadati; Pseudomonadota; Gammaproteobacteria; Oceanospirillales; Halomonadaceae
Description: partial 16S ribosomal RNA
Rfam family: Bacterial small subunit ribosomal RNA
Source: RNAcentral